AAAAGGAGAAGCUCUUGGAGUCAUUUUCCCCUUUGCCUCCCUGUAGCAGAUAUGCAGAAGGGAGGGUGUUGCACGUCUACUACCAGCCAGUUCGUGGUUUGCUUCCUCGCCCCUCAGCGGGGGUUCCUAAAGCCCCUUGCAGCUUCGGCUUCGUUCAGCACCCCCAGCUAGGCGACAGCAGGCGUUAUUAACCCUGCCGUGCAAAGAGGGGCAGCGAGGCACCAGGGGGACUCGUGCCAAGCCACCUUACAGGUAAUACCUGGAACAGAAAUUAGGAGGUGGCAGUCUCAGUUUUGACUUUAACCUUCACGUCAGGUUUCCUCCUUUUCCUUAGGCUGCAGUGCCAGACCACUGCAGUACCAAGUACACAACAGCAUCCUCCAUCUUCUAACCAUCUUUGGUACCAUGACAGGGUGGAGGGACGUGUAGCCUGCAAGCCUCCAGACCCUCGCACGCCUUUCUAGGAGCCUGCAGCUUAGAAAGCUGGACUGGGAGGUUCGCACUUCUGGCUAUCUGCAUUGUCCUUAAUUUCUGUAGAAGUGGAGCAUCAUUGCUGAGGAGGGAGUUAGUCAGAAAUGGCUUGCUUCACGUACUGUGUCACUGCAUCUGUCCCAUGUUUAAGCUCAGUGAGAAGGUCUGAUGCCUUUCCUGACGUACUGUGUGCUCCUAUUCCCUUUCUUUCCCCGCAUCUGUUGACAGUUCAAAGUCUCUCCAUGGGACCACCUGCUCAGGGAUACACCCUUUAAUAGGUCUCAGCUGCAGCUACAGCAAGAAAAAUUAGGAACAGUGUAGAAGUAUUUUUCCAUUGCUGUGACAAUUAAGGCAUAACACUGCAUAAAUGAGCUUAUCCUUUUCAUUGUAUCAGCAAAUUUUGAGUUCUCUUUUUUUAAUUUCAGGUCUGCUGGACACAACUAGCAUCUUGGGGUGCCUGAAGGCUGUCUGUAUGGGAGAUGUGUAGACACCACCCUUCUCUUUCCCUGAUAACCAAUUACCAUGGUACAACACAGGACCUGAGCAAGCAUCCAUAGCAUCUGAGAUGGAAGUAAUACUCCUGUGAUGGAGGGUAGAUCAUCAGACACAGAGUCCUAUCUUCUCGAUCCAAAAUGGAGCCAGAUGUGCUGGGAGUCAGUUUCUAACUUCACAGGAUAUGAGUCAAAAUGUGCAACUCGCCGCCUGGAACUCCGGUGACUGCAGUGGAGUUCAGCCAAGGACAAUUUUGGCAAAGAGGAGUGGUCAGGACGGCCCUAAGCGAUACCAGGUACCAGCGUGUGGCCCUGGGGAGGAGCCGGGGAGCAGCCUGGAGCCCCUGAGCACACCACUUCGAACAGCAGAGCAGACACGAAGGCAACUUGAAGGAUGUGUAGGAGACCUGAGACAGCGCACUCCAGAGCCCUGUGAGGUGCGGCCGGGCCGUCGAGGCCGAGGAAUCCCCGGGAGCCGCGGGAGCAGCGGGGCCGUGGCCAGGGCAUGUGGCACAGCCCCUGCUUCGGACAGAAAGACAGCCGUCCAAAGGAAAUGAGCAUCAGUUCUCAGCGGCAGGAAAAGUGACACAUCCCGGAUAACCGGCGGUCCCCGCUCCUUUCUCAGUGUCCCUGCGGGGUGGAUGGCGCCAGAGCCGGAGUUUUGCCACCGUCCGUGUGAUGGAGCAAUGGGAGCAGUGUAGCUGGGUUGUGGGUUGACUUGCGCUUGCAUCACUGCAACCCUGAACAAGAUUGCAUCUGCAGUCAUCUGACUUCAUGCCUGGACUGAUAAAUGGUGCUGUGGAAGCAUGGAUCUCAGGGGCCUUGGCAAGAUGCUUUUGCAGUAUCCUGUCCCCUCGUUGCGUUGUCCUCUGGAAGACAGAAGAAUGAGAACCGGCGGUGUGCCAGUAUCCUGCAAGCAGUUUGAGAACUCCUGUGUGAAGAAAAGCAACUAUGCAGUGUGAGCGCAGCAAACUCGUGCUUCCCAACAACCUGCAGUUGCACUGUGUUCCCCAUGGGAACUGAAGCUAGGUUCUCGCUCUGGUUUUCUGUGUUCUUCUCUGUUACCGUACCAAAGUUGUUGCUCUCCAGCUCCCACACGUCCAUGCAAAAAUGCAGAUAUUCUCCAUGCAGAUUAAACAAGGUCUACAAAUUCAGGAAGGGCUUGUAUGGAAUGGAAGGAAAACGAAAAAUUUCCAGCAGUUCUGCACCCGUAAUCGAGUCCUGCCUGUGGCCGUUGUCACAUAGGGCGAACACUUGGUGAGGCCUCUGGGAAUUUUCCGUGUGUAGAGUGCAGGAUUUAGGCCUAGCAAGGGCACUGGUCUAAAAGGGGUAGCAAGAGGUGAGCUUUCUGGGGAAAAAUAGUGUAUUUUUUGUAUAUGUAUUUUUGAGUGAAAAACCGCCGUGUACGCAUGUUUAUGUAACAGAAGUAAAAAGCAUUUAUUUUCAUUAAACUAACAAAACGGGUAAAGCUCCCAAA
RNA transcript from Cygnus olor (mute swan), 2439 nucleotides. RefSeq lists it as uncharacterized. The record is from RefSeq and is a predicted model, not a curated record. The transcript has 8 exons. Lineage: Eukaryota; Metazoa; Chordata; Aves; Anseriformes; Anatidae.